Molecule: long non-coding RNA, 5910 nt
Organism: Camelus dromedarius (Arabian camel)
Lineage: Eukaryota; Metazoa; Chordata; Mammalia; Artiodactyla; Camelidae
Exons: 4
Source: RefSeq, a predicted model, not a curated record
UGCGCCUGCGCCCCGCUGAACUUGGCUGCGCGUGCGCAGCCCUGCGCGGAGCGGCGGCGCGAAGAUCUCGGCUGUGGGGACCUUACGCUGCAGUUCCGCUGCAGGCGGAAAACGGCAAAGAAGACGCGAGGGAAAUGGUGCUGAUUAGCUGACGGAAGUGAUUGGCUGGUGGAAGGAGCCGUUCCACAUCGCGCCUUAGUGGGGGCGGGAACCAGCUGAAGAGCGGUUCGGGUGUCGACUCCAGUUGUUUCGCGGCGGGGCAAAGGGCGGAACCGAGCGGGCGGUCUCGCGGGAGAAUAGUUUCCCGGGCGCGGGAGGCCGGCGCGGGCUGAAGGCGCGGGUCCUGUGCCGGAGAGUCUUGGCCUCGCUCCCGCGCGCGGAGCCUGGUGGGGCGCCGGGCUGCCCCCAGGAGUUACACCUGCGGGAUGUGCGGCGGUUCUGGGCGUUCUCGUCCCCUUCCGGGCUCCGUCAGACUGGUGUGGGGCUCCCACCCCGUUACCGAAUCGGAAGGUCUGAGAGGCCUACCUGUUUUUAAAUCCCUUGGGGUGAAUCUGAUGCUCGGCCAAGUUGAAGCCCAGCGCACUGUUUCAGGUUACCCCGCCCCACCCCAACCUCAGGGCCAUGUGGCUCCUUCAGGCUGAGCGGGUAACCCCUGGGCUGGCCAGUGUGCGGAAGGGUCCUCAGCCUUGCAGGUUGGCUGUGGAAGGCCUGUUUGUGUGCCUGCUGCACAGUGAGGCCAAAUAAACCCAAAGGUCGGAGUUUGGAGCAGAGAAAAGUUUAUUGAAAAGCCAAGCAAAAAGACCGGUGGCCUGUGCUCUAAAACCCCUAACUCUCGAUGGUUUUCAGGGAGAAGUUUUUAGAGGUAACAUUUGGGGUGAGGACUGCAGGGUGUGUGAAUUUUUUCUGAUUGGUUGGUGGUAAGGCAUGGUGCUCGGACUCGGGCUUAGCCUGAAGUUGCCAUCCUCCACCUGGGUGGGGGACCUUCAUUCCUACAGAAGAACUCAAAGAUGUUAUAUAUAUCCCUUGAGGAGAAACGAGGAUCUUGCUUUUAUGGCUACAUUAUAGUUUCUUGAUUGUUCCUCCUUUGUUUCUUCCUUUCCUUAUUUCCCUGACUAGUAACUAUUUGAAUCUGUUCUUUGAUAUUAAGGAAUGUCUAGGCGCCUGUAGCUUUUUUCCUGCAAAUAAGAAAUGGGGGGCACAGAAAGGAUUUUGUGCCCAGGAGGGCCCCACAGGGUCCUGCUUGAUUUCUAGUCUAGAUUUUGUCAGAUCCCCCAUGCAGGUCUGGAGUUAGAUACCAAGUGACCAACAAGGGUGGACAUUCCUCCCCAUAGGUGUCCACUCUGGAGAAGAAGUGAGAUUGGAUGUUUGGAGGAUUGGGGAACAAGUCCUCUGGUCCUGCAAGUUGAAUCCAUUGAGUGCUGUCUCUGCUCAGGGAACUUGACUGGUUCUUUUGGCGCUCAGAUUACAAACUGUUACCCUGAUACAGUUCUAUAAUUUUCCUGUUACUCAGGUCACUUUGGGCUUGACCAAAUGGUUUCUUUUACAAACCAUCUCUUAGGAUAGUGUAAUCAAUGGCGGAGCUCAUCUGUUGAAUUUGAUUCAUUUUUUUGUUUUGGGGUUUUGGUAGAUGGCUUUUCCUUAUUCUUAAAUUCUGAUGACAUCUUACAGGAGCCACAUAUAUGGAAUUAGAGAAUCUCUGUUUCUUAUUAACAGUUUUAUUGAGCUGAAAUUUACAUACCAUAAAAUUAACCUGUUUUAAGUGUACAAAUCAGUGAUUUUUAACAUAUAUACAGAGUUUUGCAACCAUCACUGUAACGAAAUUAGAGAAUCUUUGGCGAUUUUUUUUUCCUACUGAUUGCCUUUACUAUUCUCAAAAGUUUGCCUAAGUGGAUGUUUUGGAAAUACAACGUAAGAACCUCUGAAAAUGUACACUCAAGUUGUGUUAUACCUGAGCAGAUGAAAUUAAGAGGAGAAUUGAAACAAAUGUUCCUAGAAGUUGCAGGUAGUGAAACUUUUGUGUAUUGUAAUGCCAAGUAGAUAGUAACCAUUCCAGGUGUUUUGUUUUGUGAAGAAUAUGGCACAAACCCCAUUUUACAGAUGACAACAUUGACUUUGAAGGAUAAGUUGCCUGAAGUUACAUGUUUGUGCCUAGGCUAGGCCCCAACCCAGGAUGCUUUAUCUCUAAAUGUGUUGCCUUUGCCACCUCAUGAGCCUAGUUUCCAAUUAUAUUAUCUAUGUAUGACCUGUACAAUUCAUUCAUUUACUGAUCAAAUAAUUAUAAAGUGACCACUAUGCCACCAAAACCAAAAACACUGCUCUAAGUUCUAGAGAUACCAUAGUAAAUGAGCUAAAUUCCUGCCCUCAGCUUAUAUUCGAUGAAGAGACAGUGAUCAAUUGAAGAAAUAUAUACUCUAAUUUUAGAUAUUGAGACAGGCUUUUUUUUAAAAAUAGGCAAACUAAGAGUAUAGGGAAUGAUGGUGGGAGAUGGGAUCUGGCUGUCUUUUUGAGCAGAAAUCUGAAAGAAGGGAGGAAGCUGGGGCAUAAGAAAAAGCAAAGAUUUAGUUUGAGCAGCUGGAAAGAUGAAGUCGCCAUUUACUGAGUUGAAAUAUAUUGGAUAACACUGUGGAAGGACCAGGCUUUUGGGUUAAAAUCAUGAAUUCAGCUUUAGAUGUUUUUAGAUGCCACUUAGUCAUCCAAGUGGAGAGAAGGGGUUUAAAUCCAUGAGGUUGGAUGUGAUCUGACCAAGGGAUGGGUGGAGGUAGAGAGAGGACCAAGGACUGAUCCUUAGACACUUCAGUGUUUAGAAUACAAGGAGAUGAGGAGGAACCAGGAAGGAAGAUUGAAAAGGAGAGUCCAGUGUGUUAGGUGGAAAAUGCACUGGAGAUAAGAUUGAUCAGAUAGAAUGAAGACAGAAUGGUCCAUUUGUAAGAGAGGUAUGUAAAAUCUUUUGCUUUAAUUGUUCAUAUUGGCAGUUACUACAGAAACAGCGUUUCUUCCUUUUUGAGGUGGUGUACAUUUUUACAACUUUUUGAAGGGUGAUUUGAUAUUAUCUAAAAUUUAAAUGUGUGUUUACAUUCUUUGGAUAAUUUAACUUCUAGUUUAUCCUACACAAGUAUUUAUACAUGUAUACAAAGAUAUAUGUAUAAAGGUGUUUAUCACAGCAUUAUUUAUGAUAGUAAAAGAAAGAAUGCAAAUUUCAGUCAAGAUAUAGUUUUAAAGGAAAGAUAGAAAAUGUAUAGAUAUGAAAGACAGCUGCUAAAGACUGAAUUUUAUCCACCCAAAUUCAUAUGUUGGAAGUCUUCACCCUCAAUGUGAUGCCAUUUGAAGAUGAACCUUUGGGAGAUUAUUAGGUUUAGAUGAUGUCAUGAUGGUGGGACCCUCAAGGUGGGAUUAGUGUCAUUAUAAGAAGAGGAAGAGAGACCUGAGCUCUCUUCUUUCUACCAUGUAAGGAUACUACAAGCCAGGAAGUGGGUGCUUACCAGGAACGGAGUUGACUGGUACCUUGAUCUGGGACUUCCCAGUCUCCAGAACUGUGGGACAUAAAUGUUUGUUGUUAAACGCACCCAAUCUAUGGUAUUUUGUUAGCAGCCCUAACCCUAUUAAAUGAUAAAGUCAGAUAACCUAACAGAAUGUAUAGUAUGAUUUCGUUUAUCUUAAUAUAUCCAGAGGAGGCCUGUCUACUCAUACUAUCACAGGUUACUCCCUCAUUUACCUUCCCUGAGCACUUUUCUAUCUGCAGCACUUAUCACUGUCUAAAAGUAUUAAUUUUUAUACUUAUUUACUGUCUAUCUUGUUGUACUGGAAGGUAAAUUCUAUAAGAUUUUUGCCUUCGUUGUUUUUCUUUCUACCUCCAGCACAGGGGUAUGUAAUUUUUAAAAACAUUGUUUUAGGUGAAAAACUCAGACAGACAGUAUUCCCCUGAUAAUUUUACCACAAAUUCUUUGAUAUUCUUUCCUUCAAAGCAUUCCCCUGCUUGUGAGUGUGGGCUGGACUUAGUGACUAGCUUCCAAUGAGUAGAAUAUGGCAGAAGUAGAGGUAUGUCAGUAGCUCAUCAUGACUUCCUCCUUGCUCUCUCUCUCGGAUCAUUCAUUCUGGUGAACCAGCUGCUGUAUCAUGAGGACAUAUCACACAGUGCUUGGGAGAGGCCCAUGUGGCAAGAAACUGAGGCUUACUCCCAACCGGCAGGGAAGAACUGAAGCCACCUGCCAACAGUCAUGUGAGUGAGCCACCUUAGAAAUAUUUGCUUUUCAGUGCCAGUCAUGCCUUCAGAUGAUUGCAUCUCCAGGUGACAGCUUGACAGCAGUGUCACAGGAGACCCUGAGCCAGAUCACUCAAGAAAGUAAAGAGCUGCAAGUUUUAUUGGAUCAUUUAAAAAGUCUCCCAUACCCCACUUCUUUGGACCUUUAUGAGAAGGACAAUUUAGUGGCGAAAGAGGAGUCUUUCAACAAAUGAUUCUGGACAAUUGGAUCCAUAUGCCAAAAGGAAAGAAAAGAAAAGAGUGAGAGUGCACUUUGAUCCGUAUCUUGUGCCAUAUACAAAGAAGAACAAAAAUGAAUCCAAGACCUAAAUAUAAGAGCUAAAACUAUAAAACUUCUAGAAGAAAAUGUAGGAGAAAAGCUUUGUAACCUUAAGUUACAGACUUCUUAGAUAUGACAUUGAAAGUGUGAUCUUUAAAAGAAAAAAAUGGACAAAUUGGACUUCGUCAAAACAUCUGUUCUUUGAAAGACAAUAUUAAGAGAAUGAAAAGGCAAGUCACAGACUGAGAGAAGAUAUUUGUAAACCACAUGUGAUAAAGGACCAAUAUGUAUAGGACAUAUAUAAAGAUCUCUCAAAACUUAAUAGCAUGGAAAUAAUCCAAUUAAAAAUUGGGCAAAAGGUUGAACUGACAUCUCACCAAAGAAGUUAUACAGAUGAAAAGAUGCUUAAUAUUCUUAGUCAUUAGGGAAAUGCAAAGCAAAACCACAAUGAGUUACUAUUACACACCUAUAAGAACAGCUAAAAUUAAAAAGGCAGCACACUAAUUGUUGGCAUGGAUGUGGAAGAACUGGAACUCCCAUAUACUGCAGGUGGAAAUGUAAAAAUGGUACGUGCAUUUUGGAAAGCAAUAUGGCAGUUUUAAAAAAUGUUAAAUAUACACCUACCAUGAGAUCCAGCCCCUUUACUCCUGGAUGAAAUGAAAUGAAAUGAAAGUGUAUAUCCCUCAAAAAUUUGUAUACGGUUGUUCAAACAGCUUUAUUUUUAAUAGCCCAAAUCUAGAAACAAUUCAAAUAUUUACAAAUGGAUGAAUCAAACAAAUAGUGGUAUAGCCAUACAGUGGAAUACCACUCAGCAAUAAAAAGAAAUGAAUUAUUGAUACAUGCAACAUUGUAAGUUUAACCUCAAAGAAAAUGUUGAGUGACAUAGACCGGACAAAAAAGACUAUGUACUAUAUGAUUCAACUUAUAUAAGAUUCUAGAAAAUGAAAAUAAUAGUGACAGAAAGCAGAUCAGUUCUUGAAUGUGAUGGGAUGGGGAGGGAUGGGGCAAACAGCAGGAGAGAGGGCCUAAAAAGGGGCAUGAGGCAACUUUGGGGAUGAGAGUAUCUUGAUUGUGGUGGUGGUUUCAUUGUGUAUAUAUGUAUUACAACUUAUUAAAUUGUAUAUUAUUAAUGUAUACAGUUUAUAGUAUAUUAAUUAAACUUCAAUAAAGCUAUUUUUAAAGCUACAUUGAAUCUAUUAUCCUGUUUACAGAUCAUCUUCAUUUGCUUGUAGGCAGAAGGGUACUACAUAAUCUUUCUCAUUUCUGUAUGCUCAGAUGCAAAUAAUAAACUUUGUGAAUAUUAACUAUUGACUGCGAUUGUUUUGCUAGUGCCUUCUGCAUGUCUAUUGUGGUGAAAUUGUUUACCAAAUUUUGAAUGAUUUGCAAAUGAAAC